Raphanus sativus (radish) is the source of this 88-nucleotide small nucleolar RNA. RefSeq annotates it as small nucleolar RNA snoR31/Z110/Z27. Lineage: Eukaryota; Viridiplantae; Streptophyta; Magnoliopsida; Brassicales; Brassicaceae. The record is from RefSeq and is a predicted model, not a curated record. The transcript has a single exon.
AGUGUAUUAUGAUGAUAAUCAGGAAUAUAUCUCAGGAGACCUUCUGACACAGUAUCUGUGUAUGAGAAAGAUUUGUUAUCCUGAUUCU